AACGAACGCUGGAGGCAUGCCUAACACAUGCAAGUCGAACGAGACCUUCGGGUCUAGUGGCGCACGGGUGCGUAACGCGUGGGAACCUGCCCUUAGGUUCGGAAUAACUCCCCGAAAGGGGUGCUAAUACCGGAUAAUGUCUUCGGACCAAAGAUUUAUCGCCUUUGGAUGGGCCCGCGUUGGAUUAGCUAGUUGGUAGGGUAAAAGCCUACCAAGGCGACGAUCCAUAGCUGGUCUGAGAGGAUGAUCAGCCACACUGGGACUGAGACACGGCCCAGACUCCUACGGGAGGCAGCAGUGGGGAAUAUUGGACAAUGGGCGAAAGCCUGAUCCAGCAAUGCCGCGUGAGUGAUGAAGGCCUUAGGGUUGUAAAGCUCUUUUACCCGGGAUGAUAAUGACAGUACCGGGAGAAUAAGCUCCGGCUAACUCCGUG
This 433-nucleotide ribosomal RNA is filed under the name uncultured bacterium. RNAcentral's name for it is "partial 16S ribosomal RNA". It matches the Rfam family "Bacterial small subunit ribosomal RNA", at positions 29 to 507 of the family's 1533-position model. The record is from RNAcentral.